AACGUACUCCCUCCGAUCCAUAUUAAUUGUUGAAAUAUUACAUGUAUCUAGACGCUUUUUAGGCAGAGAUACAUCCAUAUUUGGGCAAAUUUGAGACAAUUAAUAUGGAUCGGAGGGAGUAGAAA
Non-coding RNA from Brachypodium distachyon (stiff brome), 125 nucleotides. Lineage: Eukaryota; Viridiplantae; Streptophyta; Magnoliopsida; Poales; Poaceae. The record is from Rfam.